CAUGGCAGGAAGUGUAAUGUUUGAUGAUCAUAUAUACGGUAGAUCUCUGCCUCUGGAAUAGAUUCAGCAUGCCCAAUCCCAGAAUGAAGUUGAGACAUCUGAGUUGUGUCCCCUCCUUUGUCAUAAUGCCAGCUAGUGUAAAGAUGAGAUUGAUCAAUGUACUCUAAGCUAACUAGACCUGGUGUAUUCCUAAGGGAAUAGAGAGCCAACAGGUGAAUCACAAGAAGCAACUACCUAAACAAAGUUGAGAAUCUGAGGGUGUCCUACCAAACCUAUCCUGUCCUGUUUGAAGAAUUCCAGGCCAAGAAAAGUGAUGCACAGA
Long non-coding RNA from Saccostrea echinata, 322 nucleotides. RefSeq lists it as uncharacterized. NCBI's taxonomy places the organism in Eukaryota, Metazoa, Mollusca, Bivalvia, Ostreida, Ostreidae. The record is from RefSeq and is a predicted model, not a curated record. The transcript is spliced from 3 exons.